This 469-nucleotide ribosomal RNA is filed under the name uncultured organism. RNAcentral describes it as "partial 16S ribosomal RNA". It matches the Rfam family "Bacterial small subunit ribosomal RNA", at positions 335 to 797 of the family's 1533-position model. The record is from RNAcentral.
ACUCCUGCGGGAGGCAGCAGUAGGGAAUCUUCCACAAUGGGUGCAAACCUGAUGGAGCAAUGCCGCGUGAGUGAAGAAGGUCUUCGGAUCGUAAAGCUCUGUUGUUAGAGAAGAACACGUGCUAGGUAACUACUAGCGCCUUGACGGUAUCUAACCAGAAAGUCACGGCUAACUACGUGCCAGCAGCCGCGGUAAUACGUAGGUGACAAGCGUUGUCCGGAUUUAUUGGGCGUAAAGGGAGCGCAGGCGGUCUGUUUAGUCUAAUGUGAAAGCCCACGGCUUAACCGUGGAACGGCAUUGGAAACUGACAGACUUGAAUGUAGAAGAGGAAAAUGGAAUUCCAAGUGUAGCGGUGGAAUGCGUAGAUAUUUGGAGGAACACCAGUGGCGAAGGCGAUUUUCUGGUCUAACAUUGACGCUGAGGCUCGAAAGCGUGGGGAGCGAACAGGAUUAGAAACCCUAGUAGUCCC